ACGGAAGGCAGCAGUGGGGAAUAUUGGGCAAUGGGCGCAAGCCUGACCCAGCAACGCCGCGUGAAGGAAGAAGGCUUUCGGGUUGUAAGCUUCUUUUAUCAGGGACGAAGAAUGUGACGGUACCUGAUGAAUAAGCCACGGCUAACUACGUGCCAGCAGCCGCGGUAAUACGUAGGUGGCAAGCGUUAUCCGGAUUUACUGGGUGUAAAGGGCGCGUAGGCGGGGAUGCAAGUCAGAUGUGAAAUCUAUGGGCUUAACCCAUAAACUGCAUUUGAAACUGUAUCUCUUGAGUGUCGGAGAGGUAGAUGGAAUUCCUAGUGUAGCGGUGAAAUGCGUAGAUAUUAGGAGGAACACCAGUGGCGAAGGCGAUCUACUGGACGAUAACUGACGCUGAGGCGCGAAAGCGUGGGGAGCAAACAGGAUUAGAUACCCUGGUA
This 437-nucleotide ribosomal RNA is filed under the name uncultured Clostridium sp. RNAcentral's name for it is "partial 16S ribosomal RNA". It matches the Rfam family "Bacterial small subunit ribosomal RNA", at positions 341 to 792 of the family's 1533-position model. Lineage: Bacteria; Bacillati; Bacillota; Clostridia; Eubacteriales; Clostridiaceae. The record is from RNAcentral.